Non-coding RNA from Apaloderma vittatum (bar-tailed trogon), 46 nucleotides. Lineage: Eukaryota; Metazoa; Chordata; Aves; Trogoniformes; Trogonidae. The record is from Rfam.
AUCACGGCUCUACUAAGAGCCACAUCAAUUUAAACUGCCAUCUCUC